Molecule: ribosomal RNA, 77 nt
Filed under: Lachnospiraceae bacterium
Lineage: Bacteria; Bacillati; Bacillota; Clostridia; Lachnospirales; Lachnospiraceae
Description: partial 23S ribosomal RNA
Source: RNAcentral
UGAGGUAGAUAGGAAUGGAGUGUAAGCACAGCAAUGUGUUCAGCGGACAUUUACUAAUCGGUCGAAUGCUUAACCAA